RNAcentral lists this non-coding RNA (29 nucleotides) under Cricetulus griseus (Chinese hamster). The record is from RNAcentral. Lineage: Eukaryota; Metazoa; Chordata; Mammalia; Rodentia; Cricetidae.
UCCUGAGACCUUUGUCCAGCUGCCAUGAG